RNAcentral lists this ribosomal RNA (266 nucleotides) under uncultured bacterium. RNAcentral's name for it is "partial 16S ribosomal RNA". It matches the Rfam family "Bacterial small subunit ribosomal RNA", at positions 88 to 353 of the family's 1533-position model. The record is from RNAcentral.
AUGGCGACCGGCGCACGGGUGAGUAACACGUAUCCAACCUGCCGAUGACUCGGGGAUAGCCUUUCGAAAGAGAGAUUAAUACCCGAUGGCAUAGUUCUUCCGCAUGGUGGAACUAUUAAAGAAUUUCGGUCAUCGAUGGGGAUGCGUUCCAUUAGGUUGUUGGCGGGGUAACGGCCCACCAAGCCUUCGAUGGAUAGGGGUUCUGAGAGGAAGGUCCCCCACAUUGGAACUGAGACACGGUCCAAACUCCUACGGGAGGCAGCAUG